This 408-nucleotide long non-coding RNA is filed under the name Malus domestica (apple). Its description in RNAcentral is "long non-coding RNA (MDOM_LNC012686)". The record is from RNAcentral. Lineage: Eukaryota; Viridiplantae; Streptophyta; Magnoliopsida; Rosales; Rosaceae.
AGCAAGGAAUAAUGAGAUCAUGCAACGACUUAGAAAACAAUAAUGCACAGAUUUUAACUUUCCAAAUAAACGUUUAGGCUCAAGUCUCACAAGGUUGUAGCGUUAGUUUGAGUUCCUUCCUUCAAGCAUGUUACAAAAAAAACUGAAUUUUUUCUUUUAUGAUUGCAUGUGAAUUCAUAAGUUAUAACCACAACUAAGCAUAAACAAAGAGUAAAUCAAACUUUCAUCCAUGUUAAUCACUCUCUUUAACAGCCAUGUAAUUACAAACCGAAUCCUCAUCAUUGUGUUGGAAGGUACCCUAAGACACAAACAAACACACAAAAACAACUCUUUUUGGGUUUUUAAAACAAAUUUUUCAAAUUUUUAUGUGAUUUUCGGAUUUUUGCAUCAAAACACACUAAAACACAC